UGGGGAAUUUUGGACAAUGGGCGAAAGCCUGAUCCAGCAAUGCCGCGUGUGUGAAGAAGGCCUUCGGGUUGUAAAGCACUUUUGUCCGGAAAGAAAUCCUUGGCUCUAAUACAGUCGGGGGAUGACGGUACCGGAAGAAUAAGCACCGGCUAACUACGUGCCAGCAGCCGCGGUAAUACGUAGGGUGCAAGCGUUAAUCGGAAUUACUGGGCGUAAAGCGUGCGCAGGCGGUUUGCUAAGACCGAUGUGAAAUCCCCGGGCUCAACCUGGGAACUGCAUUGGUGACUGGCAGGCUAGAGUAUGGCAGAGGGGGGUAGAAUUCCACGUGUAGCAGUGAAAUGCGUAGAGAUGUGGAGGAAUACCGAUGGCGAAAGGCAGCCCCCUGGGCCAAAUACUGACGCUCAUGCACGAAAAGCGUGGGGAGCAAAACAGGAUUAGAUACCCUGGUAGUCCACGCCCUAAAACGAUGUCAACUAGUUGUUGGGGAUUCAUUUCCUUAGUAACGUAGCUAACGCGUGAAGUUGACCGCCUGGGGAGUACGGUCGCAAAGAUUAAAACUCAAAUGAAUUGACGGGGUCAUAGCUGUUUCCU
RNAcentral lists this ribosomal RNA (591 nucleotides) under uncultured bacterium. RNAcentral describes it as "partial 16S ribosomal RNA". It matches the Rfam family "Bacterial small subunit ribosomal RNA", at positions 355 to 1375 of the family's 1533-position model. The record is from RNAcentral.